This 864-nucleotide ribosomal RNA is filed under the name uncultured archaeon. RNAcentral's name for it is "bacterial SSU rRNA". It matches the Rfam family "Archaeal small subunit ribosomal RNA", at positions 21 to 903 of the family's 1478-position model. The record is from RNAcentral.
GGCGACCGCUUUUGGAGUUCGAUUAAGCCAUGCGAGUCGAGAGCCUUAGGGGCUCGGCAUACUGCUCAGUAACACGUGGAUAACCUGCCCUAUUGUCUGGAAUAACCUCGGGAAACUGAGAACGAGGCCGGAUAGCCCACAAUGCCUGGAACGGUUUGUGGGUGAAGAUAGGAUGGGUCUGCGGCGUAUCAGGUCGUAGGGGGUGUAAUGGACCUCCUAGCCAUCGACGCGUACGGGUGUUGGGAGACAUAGCCCGGAGAUGGAUUCUGAGACACGAAUCCAGACCCUACGGGGUGCAGCAGGCGCGAAAACUUCACACUGCAGGAAACUGUGAUGAGGGAACUCCAAGUGCAUGCACUAUGUGUAUGCUUUUCUUAACUAUUAAUCGGUUUUGGAAUAAGGGCUGGGAAAGACCGGUGCCAGCCGCCGCGGUAAUACCGGCAGCUCAAGUGGUCGUCGCUUUUAUUGGGCCUAAAACGUCCGUAGCCUGUUUGGUAAAUCUGUGGGUAAAUCAACCAGCUUAACUGGUUGAAUUCUGCAGAGACUGCCAGACUAGGGACCGGGAGAGGUGUGGGGUACUCUAGGGGUAGGGGUAAAAUCCUGUCAUCCUUAGAGGACCACCAGUUGCGAAGGCGCCACACUGGAACGGAUCCGACGGUCAGGGACGAAGCCUAGGGGCACGAACCGGAUUAGAUACCCGGGUAGUCCUAGGUGUAAACGCUGUGAACUUGGUGUCGGGGAUCCGUAAUGGGUUCUCGGUGCCGGAGUGAAGAUGUUAAGUUCACUGCCUGGGGAGUACGGUCGCAAGGCUGAAACUUAAAGGAAUUGGCGGGGGAGCACUGCAACGGGAGGAGCGUGCGGUUU